This 443-nucleotide ribosomal RNA is filed under the name uncultured bacterium. Its description in RNAcentral is "partial 16S ribosomal RNA". It matches the Rfam family "Bacterial small subunit ribosomal RNA", at positions 338 to 795 of the family's 1533-position model. The record is from RNAcentral.
CCUACGGGGGGCAGCAGUGGGGAAUAUUGCACAAUGGGGGAAAGCCUGAUGCAACAACGCCGCGUGAAGGAAGACGGUUUUCGGAUUGUAAACUUCUAUCAAUAGGGAAGAAAGAAGUGACGGUACCUAAAUAAGAAGCCCCGGCUAACUACGUGCCAGCCGCCGCGGUAAUACGUAGGGGGCAAGCGUUAUCCGGAAUUACUGGGUGUAAAGGGAGAGUAGGCGGCAAGGUAAGCGAUAUGUGAAAGCCUUAAGCUUAACUUAAGGAUGGCAUAACGAACUAUCUAGCUAGAGUACAGGAGAGGAAAGCGGAAUUUCUAGUGUAGCGGUGAAAUGCGUAGAUAUUAGGAAGAACACCAGUGGCGAAGGCGGCUUUCUGGACUGAAACUGACGCUGAGGCUCGAAAGCGUGGGGAGCGAACAGGAUUAGAUACCCGUGUAGUC